UUGAGCUUCAUUUUUUUUUCAAAAUACUGCAACAUGAGUUUUAAAUUAUGACACAGUACAAUACUUGUUUCAAUAUUUACAUGUAAAUAAAAUAAUCCUAAUUACUUGUAAAAGUAAGGUUAUAAAUUUAAGAAUACAGAACUCUCUUUUAAAACCAAAGUGGCAUUAGACUAAUUUUAAAAUUCCCGCUAAAAGGAAAAAGGUAAAUCUGGCAACAGUGCCGUCGUCCCUUUGCUGGGAGAGAUUAAAUAUCCAGCACGCAACCGCACUGUUGCCAGAUUUACUUCUUUUCUUUUAGCGGGAAUUUUAAAAUAUCUAAUGUCAGUUGGUUUAAAAUUUGACAGUUGUAUUUUUUUGAUUCCGAAUCUUAACCUUACUUUACAGGUGAUUUGAUUAUGUACAAAAAAUGUACAAUGUAAAUAAAUUGAACCAAGUAAUGUACUAAAAUAUGCUAUGUUAUAAUUUAAAACUCGUUAUGUUAGUCUUUUGAAAAAAAUUAAACUCAAAAGAGAUAUACUUGUUUACAGUGCAAAUUAAUGGCAAUAAUAGGGAUUUACGAUUUAAUUUGCAGGAAAAACAUGGGCAACCUACCCAGUUGGUAAAAUUUCAAUUCAAAAACUCUUUAGAUUUUACUGUGUGUAUGUCACAGGAAGAGAAACAAAAUAAUAUUCAGUCACAGGAGUACAAGAACAUGAAACAUCUUAUUAUGUAUGUAUGCCAUUCUCAAACAAUUAUUGUACAAAACAAGAUAGAGAAGAGCUUUAAAAUCCCAAGGAUCCUGCGAAAAGAAAAGUGAAAAUGUUGUCUCAAUUAAUGUAGUAUAGAUAGACAUUUUUCUUUAUUUUAGUAUUAAAUAAUUAUUUAGAAUAUUAAUAGGUAUUAGUUUUAAUAGUAUUAAUAUGUACUGUAUGAAUAAUUCCCAUCAUAUAUCUUCUGGCUAAAGUUACAAAAUAAAUAAAAAUGAAAAAACAUUUAAGUGGUGUAGCACCUUUACUUUACCUGGGGAUGAGGUGAGUUAUUAGGUAAAUUCUAUUUUCUUACAUAAUAUAGGUACAUAUAUAAUAUACUUAAAAAUUAAUGGUGGUAUUAUUGUGGUUUAUAUUGAAAGCCAAAGCAAGUAAGAAUAAGAAGAUAUAGGUAGCAGUAUAAGAAGACGUGGCUACAGGCGAAGCGUGUUCAUGAAUGUGUUAAUAAUAAUAAUUUUAUAUCUAUUUUGUUAAUACAUUUUACUAUUAAAGACAAUUAUUAAAAUAUGCCAAAAACGCCCACAAAGUGGCUUUAAGUUUUAUUACACAGUAUGUGGACUUCAACUAGGAAGAUUAUGUUAAGUAUGAGCAGAAUAAAGGCUAACAAUUUUGA
Molecule: long non-coding RNA, 1359 nt
Filed under: Diabrotica virgifera virgifera (western corn rootworm)
Lineage: Eukaryota; Metazoa; Arthropoda; Insecta; Coleoptera; Chrysomelidae
Description: uncharacterized LOC126893295
Source: RNAcentral